GGGGACGUAGUACAAUCUGGCUAGUAUGGGGGCCUCCAGAGCCCUGGAUUUGGGUUCAAAACAUUUCUUCGCGGAAGAAAUGAGCAAAGAAGGCGCUCAAGUUGGGCGUAAAGCCCAACGGACCUCAGACGCGGAGGAUUGUGAAAGUCCCAACGUCCCCA
RNAcentral lists this transfer RNA (161 nucleotides) under Candidatus Woesearchaeota archaeon. RNAcentral's name for it is "tRNA-Trp". Lineage: Archaea; Nanobdellati; Candidatus Woesearchaeota. The record is from RNAcentral.